Lycium ferocissimum is the source of this 1103-nucleotide long non-coding RNA. RefSeq lists it as uncharacterized. The record is from RefSeq and is a predicted model, not a curated record. The transcript has 2 exons. NCBI's taxonomy places the organism in Eukaryota, Viridiplantae, Streptophyta, Magnoliopsida, Solanales, Solanaceae.
ACAACACCUGACCCGACCCACUUCUUUAUUUAACUCCCUAAUGCCCAUAAACCUAGUUUCAUUCCCAAUACCCUCAAAACACAGCAACACAAGUGAACCCAAAAGCUCUUCAAGGGAAAAACGAUACCCCAACAUUCAUGUCGAGCCCCAGCUGGCAAAAAUCCAUUUCCGGAUAAAAUUCAAACAUCUUUUAUCGUCUCCAGCAUCUGUUCGGCCAUUUAUGGCAAGCAUUUAUGGAGUUUGGCCAUUAGCUUAAGCAUAGACAACUUUCAAACAGUGACUUUGUUCCAAUUUCUUUUGUUUUUCCCUUUUCUUUCUAGUACAAAUUCACAACCUUGUCAAUUUUAAACAAAUUUCAAAUUGGGAUUCAGUCCCACAACAAAUUUUAUAGCUAAACCCUAGUAGUUGGGGGUUCUAUAAAUAGGACCCCAUUUCUUCAUCCUCACCAAGUUGAACAUACCCAAAAAUUCUGAUUUAUCAAUUAACUCAGACUCCAAACAAGAGGAAAAGUUUCUUGCAAGUUGAGUUUUUCUUGAAUCAUCGGAUUAAGUUUAAAUUUUGUUCAAUUCGAGUUGGUUUGUGGUGUCGGUGAAAGUUGAAAGGUGAUUGUCGACUCUCGUCGCCCCCGUCGCUGCUCGGCAAAAAGGUGCAACGCAACCAUUUGGAGGAGAAGUGAGCAAUUUGGUGGACUUUUGCAAACUUUGGCAUCUCAACGUGGUGAUAUGAGAAGCAGAAACAGUAGAGAAGAAGUGACGAACUGAGGAGUCCGCUAUCCUUCCGCAUCGCCGAACAAAGGCGCAAGAAUUCUAUCUCUGACUAAUGGCACAAUCAGGCUUGUCAUCCGCAUCGCAUGAAGAAAGCUAGCAAAACAAGCUUCUGACCAAGUUUCAUGUUCAUGCAAUCCUUCCGCAUCGCGAAAGAAAAGCUCAAGUUCUGUUCAGCCGAUCCUUCCGCAUGUGGAAGGAAAGCGAGUCUCUGCACAGUUUUUCCCAUUUCGAUCGGGAUUAGGUCUACUUAUUUUUUGUUUUAACCCUAGAUUAUAAAUAGAUGUUUUAUUAGUUGUAAACGACGUGCUGGGAUUAUUCUAAGACUUGUAAGUCGUC